RNAcentral lists this long non-coding RNA (700 nucleotides) under Fukomys damarensis (Damara mole-rat). RNAcentral describes it as "lncRNA (ENSFDAG00000030398.1)". The record is from RNAcentral. Lineage: Eukaryota; Metazoa; Chordata; Mammalia; Rodentia; Bathyergidae.
AGGGAACUCCGGCCCCGCGGGUGGGAAGCGGCGUCCCUGCGUGUCCGCGGAGCACAACGCCCACGUGUCGCAGAGCAGGGUGAUUCUCAGCCUGCAGUGGGGAGACCCAGUCCCACGUGGUGGCCGCCCUGGGAGUGGCCCUGUGACUUCACGUGGAUGGUCUGCAGCAUCCCAGGAGAGACGGCACAGGGCCUCACUCAAGCAAGCAAGACACACACGCUGGCCGGAUUUUAACUGUGGCUUCAUGAUUGCCUUGGAAUACGUGAAGCUCUUCGUGCUCCAAGAAAUUGUGCUGUGAUUGCAGCCCAUUCGAUUCCGAAGAACUGUCUUGAAUUCCAGUGAGUUUAUAAAGGAAAAAAUAAAUGAUGUAUAAAUAAAACUCGUGAGGUGGGCAGGUGGCGGAAAGCCGUUGUUCAAAGUCCUCGGGGAUCUAUUUCCAGGGCUUUUGCUCAUCAGACCGCUCUCUUUCAAAGGGAAACCGUGCUGCUGGUGUUUCCUCCGUGUAUAGCAAAAAUAACCUGUCUGACGCUGGGACGGGCAGCUGAAAUCCAGGCUUGCUCGUGAGCCUUUGAGCCUGCGGAAGACGGGGAGUGUGGACCCCGGUCCGCGCUGGCCUCCAGGAGCCCUGGUCCCGGGAACAGAUGAAUGAGCUCGGCCGUCCCCUCCUGCUGGUGCUCCCGAGGCACCGGCUCACUUUCUG